This 254-nucleotide ribosomal RNA is filed under the name uncultured bacterium. Its description in RNAcentral is "partial 16S ribosomal RNA". It matches the Rfam family "Bacterial small subunit ribosomal RNA", at positions 524 to 776 of the family's 1533-position model. The record is from RNAcentral.
UACGUAGGGUGCGAGCGUUGCUCGGAAUUAUUGGGCGUAAAGAGCUCGUAGGCGGCUCGGUAAGUCGGGUGUGAAACCUCCAGGCUCAACCUGGAGACGCCACUCGAUACUGCCGUGGCUAGAGUCCGGUAGAGGAGCGUAGAAUUCCUGGUGUAGCGGUGAAAUGCGCAGAUAUCAGGAGGAAUACCAGCGGCGAAGGCGGCGCUCUGGGCCGGAACUGACGCUGAGGAGCGAAAGCGUGGGGAGCAAACAGG